GUGCCUAAUACAUGCAAGUCGAGCGAACGGACGAGAAGCUUGCUUCUCUGAUGUUAGCGGCGGACGGGUGAGUAACACGUGGAUAACCUACCUAUAAGACUGGGAUAACUUCGGGAAACCGGAGCUAAUACCGGAUAAUAUUUUGAACCGCAUGGUUCAAAAGUGAAAGACGGUCUUGCUGUCACUUAUAGAUGGAUCCGCGCUGCAUUAGCUAGUUGGUAAGGUAACGGCUUACCAAGGCAACGAUGCAUAGCCGACCUGAGAGGGUGAUCGGCCACACUGGAACUGAGACACGGUCCAGACUCCUACGGGAGGCAGCAGUAGGGAAUCUUCCGCAAUGGGCGAAAGCCUGACGGAGCAACGCCGCGUGAGUGAUGAAGGUCUUCGGAUCGUAAAACUCUGUUAUUAGGGAAGAACAUAUGUGUAAGUAACUGUGCACAUCUUGACGGUACCUAAUCAGAAAGCCACGGCUAACUACGUGCCAGCAGCCGCGGUAAUACGUAGGUGGCAAGCGUUAUCCGGAAUUAUUGGGCGUAAAGCGCGCGUAGGCGGUUUUUUAAGUCUGAUGUGAAAGCCCACGGCUCAACCGUGGAGGGUCAUUGGAAACUGGAAAACUUGAGUGCAGAAGAGGAAAGUGGAAUUCCAUGUGUAGCGGUGAAAUGCGCGGAGAUAUGGAGGAACACCAGUGGCGAAGGCGACUUUCUGGUCUGUAACUGACGCUGAUGUGCGAAAGC
Molecule: ribosomal RNA, 734 nt
Filed under: uncultured Staphylococcus sp.
Lineage: Bacteria; Bacillati; Bacillota; Bacilli; Caryophanales; Staphylococcaceae
Description: bacterial SSU rRNA
Rfam family: Bacterial small subunit ribosomal RNA
Source: RNAcentral